GACUGGGGGAUUUGGAGGGGGUAGAGGAGGGGACAGGUAGCUUUGCAUAGGUCAUAACAUCAGUCUGAGAAAAUAUCAGUUGUGUGCAUCUUUGAAUGGGAGAGCUGUCAAUCAUGGAGCAGGUGAAGGUGGGGGACACAGAACUCCCUAAGCCAUGCCUGGUGUU
Long non-coding RNA from Phyllostomus discolor (pale spear-nosed bat), 166 nucleotides. RefSeq lists it as uncharacterized. Lineage: Eukaryota; Metazoa; Chordata; Mammalia; Chiroptera; Phyllostomidae. The record is from RefSeq and is a predicted model, not a curated record. The transcript has 3 exons.